CGUGUAGGCGGCUCAGCAAGUCGGGUGUGAAAGCCCUCGGCUUAACCGAGGAAGUGCGCCUGAAACUACUGAGCUUGAGUACCGGAGAGGGCGGUGGAAUUCCCGGUGUAGAGGUGAAAUUCGUAGAUAUCGGGAGGAACACCAGCGGCGAAGGCGACCGCCUGGACGGCUACUGACGCUGAGACGCGAAAGCAUGGGGAGCAAACAGGAUUAGAUACCCUGGUAGUCCACGCUGUAAACGAUGAGCGCUAGGUGUUGUGGGUGUUGACCCCCGCAGUGCCGCAGCUAACGCAUUAAGCGCUCCGCCUGGGAGGUACGGCCGCAAGGCUAA
RNAcentral lists this ribosomal RNA (331 nucleotides) under uncultured bacterium. Its description in RNAcentral is "bacterial SSU rRNA". It matches the Rfam family "Bacterial small subunit ribosomal RNA", at positions 568 to 897 of the family's 1533-position model. The record is from RNAcentral.